GGAGAGGUGCCGGAGCGGUUGAACGGGGCGGUCUCGAAAACCGUUGUACCCAUUCGGGUACCCAGGGUUCGAAUCCCUGCCUCUCCGCCA
RNAcentral lists this transfer RNA (90 nucleotides) under Candidatus Zhuqueibacterota bacterium. RNAcentral describes it as "candidate division KSB1 bacterium tRNA-Ser". It matches the Rfam family "tRNA". Rfam says of the family: Transfer RNA (tRNA) molecules are approximately 80 nucleotides in length. Their secondary structure includes four short double-helical elements and three loops (D, anti-codon, and T loops). Lineage: Bacteria; Pseudomonadati. The record is from RNAcentral.